RNAcentral lists this transfer RNA (119 nucleotides) under Pectobacterium phage vB_PcaM_CBB. RNAcentral describes it as "Pectinobacterium phage vB_PcaM_CBB tRNA-Ser". It matches the Rfam family "tRNA". Rfam says of the family: Transfer RNA (tRNA) molecules are approximately 80 nucleotides in length. Lineage: Duplodnaviria; Heunggongvirae; Uroviricota; Caudoviricetes. The record is from RNAcentral.
GGAAAGUAGCUCAGUUGGUAGAGCACGUAUAGACGAUUCUUGUAGUUGAAUCUUACAGCAACCAUACAAUUGCAUAUAUGAAAGCACGGUGUCAUUGGUUCGAAUCCAGUCUUUCCCAC